AAAACUUUCAACAACGGAUCUCUUGGUUCUGGCAUCGAUGAAGAACGCAGCGAAAUGCGAUAAGUAAUGUGAAUUGCAGAAUUCAGUGAAUCAUCGAAUCUUUGAACGCACAUUGCGCCCCUUGGUAUUCCGGGGGGCAUGCCUGUUCGAGCUCAUUG
RNAcentral lists this ribosomal RNA (158 nucleotides) under Polycauliona candelaria. Its description in RNAcentral is "5.8S ribosomal RNA". It matches the Rfam family "5.8S ribosomal RNA". Rfam says of the family: 5.8S ribosomal RNA (5.8S rRNA) is a component of the large subunit of the eukaryotic ribosome. It is transcribed by RNA polymerase I as part of the 45S precursor that also contains 18S and 28S rRNA. Lineage: Eukaryota; Fungi; Ascomycota; Lecanoromycetes; Teloschistales; Teloschistaceae. The record is from RNAcentral.